This 73-nucleotide transfer RNA is filed under the name Candidatus Woesebacteria bacterium. RNAcentral's name for it is "tRNA-Thr". It matches the Rfam family "tRNA". Rfam says of the family: Transfer RNA (tRNA) molecules are approximately 80 nucleotides in length. The record is from RNAcentral. RNAcentral also lists the same sequence under 1 other name. Lineage: Bacteria; Candidatus Woeseibacteriota.
GCCGAAGUAGCUCAGUUGGUAGAGCAUGGCUUUCGUAAAGCUAGGGUCGGGAGUUCGACUCUCCCCUUCGGCU